GAUGAACGCUGGCGGCGUGCUUAACACAUGCAAGUCGAGCGAUGAAGUUUCCUUCGGGAAACGGAUUAGCGGCGGACGGGUGAGUAACACGUGGGUAACCUGCCUCAUAGAGUGGAAUAGCCUUCCGAAAGGAAGAUUAAUACCGCAUAAUGUUGAAAGAUGGCAUCAUCAUUCAACCAAAGGAGCAAUCCGCUAUGAGAUGGACCCGCGGCGCAUUAGCUAGUUGGUGGGGUAACGGCCUACCAAGGCGACGAUGCGUAGCCGACCUGAGAGGGUGAUCGGCCACAUUGGGACUGAGACACGGCCCAGACUCCUACGGGAGGCAGCAGUGGGGAAUAUUGCACAAUGGGGGAAACCCKGAUGCAGCAACGCCGCGUGAGUGAUGAAGGUUUUCGGAUCGUAAAGCUCUGUCUUUGGGGAAGAUAAUGACGGUACCCAAGAWG
RNAcentral lists this ribosomal RNA (443 nucleotides) under uncultured bacterium. Its description in RNAcentral is "bacterial SSU rRNA". It matches the Rfam family "Bacterial small subunit ribosomal RNA", at positions 28 to 486 of the family's 1533-position model. The record is from RNAcentral.